This is a long non-coding RNA of Panthera uncia (snow leopard), 1359 nucleotides long. RefSeq lists it as uncharacterized. The transcript is spliced from 2 exons. The record is from RefSeq and is a predicted model, not a curated record. Lineage: Eukaryota; Metazoa; Chordata; Mammalia; Carnivora; Felidae.
GCUGGCUAUUGGCCCGGUGAAUGGGCGUGACUAUGCAAACCGAGCGCGCGUUGGACGCUGGGUUGGGCUAGUGGGGCUUCCCUUAAGUGCCUGGGAGUCAGAAAUUAUCUCACAGUGCCCGGGAGUGAUAUGUUUUAACUGGUCCUCUGCUCAAGGUCUCAUGAAGCUGCAAUGGAGGUGUUGGCUGGACUACAUCCUCAUCCCGAGGCUCAACUGGAGAAGGAUCCAUAUCCAAGCUUCUUGAGCCUGUUGGCAGAACUCAUUUCCUGGUGGUUGUAGGACUAUAGUCCCCAUUUCCUUUCUGUCAGCUGGGGGCCACUCUCAGGUGCUAGCCACAUGGCCUCCUCCAUCUCAGUAAGAGAAAGCCUCCCUCUAUUGAGAGGGAGAAUUCUGAGUGUUGAAUGCUGAACCCCUCUCAUGGUUCAAAUCCCUCUGAUUUCCUCGUCUGCAACCAGUGAGUCAGGCCCACUCAGAUUAUCCCCAUGUCUUAAAGUCAGUUGGCCCAAUAACAUAAUCACAGGAAUGAGAUCUGUCCCACUUCUAGUCCUGGGAUGAUAUAGAAUAAGAAAUCUCGGGAACACCUUAAAAUUUCUGCAGCCCAUAGCCCUAGGAGCCACAUCUCUGCACACCUGUCCCACAGCCUCCUACAAACUCAGUUGUUCAGUCAGCAAAUGAGCCUCAGGGAUUCUGAAACAUACUACUUUGCAGCAGACAGAAUGCAAGGACUCAUUAGGGCACUCACUUUGGAGAGAGCCCCUCUACGUGGUGGGGCAGCCAGCAUGCAGCCUCAGGGUCCAAUGCCUGCUUCACUGCCCCCUCAGCUGGGCAUCUCAGAGCCAGCAAGUCUAGCUUGUAGGCCCUCAGGCCUCAUCUGUGCAUCGGGGAGGCUAACAGUCCUUCUUGGGACAGGGAGUAAAGACAUCUGUUGUUGGGGAUCCCCAAGACUACGCUCAGGUUUGAUGAUUGACUAGAAGGAUCCACAGAACUCAGAAAAGCUGUUCUGUUCAUGGCUAUGGUUGAUCACAGUGAAAGGACAGUCUAAAGUCCUCAAAGGAGAAGAAUGCGUGAGGCAGAGCCCUGGAGAAACCAGGCACAAGCGUCCAGGUGCAGACCUGUCACAACCUUUGCGACAACACACACACACACAGUACUGCCAACCAGGGAAGCUCACCCGAGCCUCAUUAUCCAGAGUUUACUGGGGAGGAAGGCUGACCACCCAUGUGCUUGACCUCAGUCUCCAGCCCCUCCAUAGGUCAAGUUGAUACCAUUUGGCUAAAAGCCCCACCCUAAAGUAUAUUAUUAGCAUAGACUCUCUGGUGUGGCCCAAGGUCUUAAAUAAACAGACACUUUUAUCGGUCA